GGAAAGGUCGUGACAGGGUGAGUCGAUGUCUGAAGGGCAGCAGCACGUGAACCGGCCACGCGCUAUCAGCACAGAGAGCUCAGGUGGAAUCCCUCCGGAGCUGCAGCAGGGCAGUGCUGGAGUGCGGAGGUGACCCAGAGCCGGAGCUGAGGGCUGACCCGGGGAGCUGCAGGCUCUGAGCUGGUUGUGUAGGAGGGUGCUGUGCUGCCUCCUGCAUCUCAUGCUCAUCCUGCAGACAAACCUCCGCCUCGAUGGCUGCUGCUGUUUUCUUCCUGGUUGCCGGAAGACGUGUUCCCACAGGCCUAGCUGGGUUUUUGUGCUUCAUGCCUUAAUUGCUUCAUCCUUAUCUGGAAAUGAAUUUGGAGAAGUACAGCUAAAACAAACACCCAGUCUUGUUCUUGGAAACACCAAUGUCUGUUUGCCAGACGUGUCUGUGACCUUCCAGGUUAAUGAGCAACGCUCUGAGGCAAUGUGGGGUUGCGCCUCUCCCCUGGUUGGGCACCAAAGGGGAAGUCAGGUAGGUGGAGGCCUGGAAAAUGCCAUGGGGAAUGGGUUCAGCUCAGGGUGAGCAGGGUCUCUGGAUGAUGGGCAGGUGUAGGGCCAUCUCUACGGGCGUUCUUUCACAUUCAAAGCCUCAGGCCAACAUUGGAGAUGCUGCAAAUGCCAGAGAUGAGAUGAGGGGAAACACAUCAAGGCUUUCUUUGCUUCCUGCCUUUGAGCCUGUGAUGGGUUUCUGUGGGUCUGAAGUCCUGCUGUAAGAGCUCGCAGCAGCUGGAAGUGUAAUGCACUGCAGCUCGGUGCCUCCUGAGGCACUCGGGCACAGCCUGGAGGAGUUUAAUGGCACUGAGGAUGGUUUUACCAACGCAUGAACCAACAUGGGCUGAGAGAGCAACUCACAAUACCUUCCUGCAACAGAGAAAGUCCAGUUUCCAUAAUAAAUAAUGAGGAGGCGUUACUUCUGGAGCAACCUGUCUAUUCCUCAGUCAUCGAAGGUGCUGAAAAGCAGAUAAGGCUGCACGCUUGCCUCCUCGUCAGCCACCCCACAGUACUGCUGGUUACACCGCUGGUGAAUGCUAACGUCAAACUGAUUUGCUCCCAAGAAGCCACUGCUGCGUGCUCCUGCAGGGAUGCUGCGGGCUGCCCCCCGCUCUCUGCUGUGCUUUGUGUGCUCCACGGGUGUUCUCUCCCUGAAGCAGUGGUUACGUGGGAUUUGGGGCUCCCUUUCCAACCCCUCCUGCGAAAGGAGAGCACAGGGCCAAAAGGUUUCUCUGUCCUCCCACUUCUGCAGUUCUCCCUGAAGCAUUUCUGCCUUCACAUAUGUGACUUCCACGGUCAGCGAGGGAAAUUGGAGACCUGCUGGGCAGAUAUUGGUAUUCAAGAAACAACAGAGGAGUCAUCACGUUGCUGUGAAAAUACACAAGAUGUGUUGUCAGCAAUAGCUGCAGUGAUUGCUCGGUGGUGUCCAGAACCAGAGAGAAGGAAAGAUCUUCAGACCAAGGGUGGCACAUGGACCUUCCUGGGGAGAUCUGAAUGGUAUCACAGCGCAAACAGCUUUUGUUCGGGUAGCCGUAGUUCAGGCUGAGGCACAGCUGCCCCAAAAUAGAGCCCAGACAGACAACGCCGAGGAUGGCUCGAGGCUUUGGGAGGACAUGGCAGAGGGAACCUUACCCUGUGUGGGGCACACAGAGCCUCGCCGAUGCUACACCUGCGCAGGAAGGAUAGGGGUGAUUUCCAAAUCAAUGUACCGGUGCUCAUUUUUUGUUUGUUUGUUUGAUUUUUGUUUUCAAAACCUGUGCAGGGCUGCUGGGUUGAUGUCACCACCGCUUUGUCUGGCUUUGGCCUGAGGGGCAGGAGGGAGUCUGGUCACCCCCGUAAUCCCAGCAGCCUCCAAUGGCAACGACAGCGCUCGGAUGAAUGAAGGCAGCAGCACUGUGCAAAUUACCUUUUCUUUCUUAUCCACAGUAAGACAGAUAAUAAUCCUCCUACGGGACUAAUUACAGCCAAUGAAAAUAACUCCCACUGCCAGUAUUUGAAGGAUAACCACUUAGAUGAAAAAGAGUGAAAAAUGAUUAUUAUUUUGUGCGUGGCUCUCUCUCGCCCCAUCUAUUCUGACCUCAGUAAAUCACAGUGUAAUUAAUCACUGAGGAUUAAACACCGCAGGGAAAAGAGUAGGAAAUUAUGUAUAAGCAAAACUUGAAAUGACUUUGACUUACCAUAAAUUUGGGUUAUCUGUCUCACAGAAUACAAUUCCUAGGCUGCCUCUUAUGGAAUAAAUCUAUCCCGACCUGUGUCCAUGAGAACUGUAUGAAUAGUGAAGACUGGAGUAUCGCUGGGUGUGUAAGAAACUAAUCAAAAAAGGCAGUGACUGUGGAAGAUGUGGGUUGGCUCUUCGGGCAUUCCAGCAGCAGAAAAAUGCACAGAGAUCCCUCAGCAGACAGGGUAGGACUUAAGUGCUCAUCUUUAAAGGUGGAAACCAGCCUCAGAG
RNAcentral lists this long non-coding RNA (2485 nucleotides) under Gallus gallus (chicken). RNAcentral's name for it is "lncRNA (ENSGALG00010026306.1)". Lineage: Eukaryota; Metazoa; Chordata; Aves; Galliformes; Phasianidae. The record is from RNAcentral.